RNAcentral lists this long non-coding RNA (1591 nucleotides) under Vitis vinifera (wine grape). Its description in RNAcentral is "long non-coding RNA (VVIN_LNC005952)". Lineage: Eukaryota; Viridiplantae; Streptophyta; Magnoliopsida; Vitales; Vitaceae. The record is from RNAcentral.
UUUUGGUUAACUGGGCCAUUCCCUCACGACCCAACAUUUUUUUUUGACAAAAUGGGCUAUAUUAUCUCCAAGGCCCAACAUUAAAUGCCCACCCCCAUCUUGCAAAAUGGGCCCCCUAUCCAAGUACUUGGCCAUAAAGCCCACCAACCACUUGGCUCAACCACCUGGCUUUAGUUAGUGGGGGAAAAGGUUUAUAAAGCACUUUAUUUUUCCUCUUACUUCCGAUGUGGGAUAAGGUAAAGGGAUUUUUUUUUUUUUGAUAGGUAAAUAGAUUUCAUUAAGAGCCAAUGGCUAGAGAAAGGCAUACACGGAGUAUACCAAAGACAAAGAAGCAAAAAAACAAAAGGACAAAGCAAAACAAUCCUUACUUAGUGGCUAGCCCGUCUAUAAAAUCUAUCAAGGACAAAGUGUGUUCUCCUAUAUACACCCUAGCCCAAUUCACAAAAGUGUACAAAAAAAUGGAUUUAAUGUCUUGAUCAUUCCUCUCCAUAUCAUCGAAUGCUCUCCUAUUUCUUUCUCUCCAAAUGGUCCACAUCAAGCAGAGGGGGGCAGCUCUCCAAGCUUUCUUCCUUUUCUUGCCCACAAAGGAACCAUGCCAACCUAGGAGGUGAUUUUUCACAGUGGAGUGCAUCACCCAUUGCACCCCAAACAGGGAGAAAAUUAGGAGCCAUAACAUUCUGGCUUUCUCACAAAACAGUAGAAGGUGAUCUGUGGUUUCCUCCUUAUGUUUACACAAAAAGCAUCUAUUGGGGAUACUCCAACCAAUUCUCUUCAGACGGUCUGUGGUGAGCAAUCUAUUCCAAGCCGCCACCCAACCAAAGAAACUAGCCCUAAUUGGAACCCAAGGCGUCCAAAUAGUUCUAGCCGGGAAGGGGGGUUUGGAAUCCCUUGAGAAGGAGCUAUAAAAGGACUUGACAGAAAAGGUUCCAAUCUUGUUCUCUUUCCACCGGAACAAGUCCUCCACGCCUCUUCUAAUGGUCAAUGGAUGAAGCUUACUUAAUAAGCUUUCGACUUCUCCCACCUCCCAAUCAUUAAGGUGUCUGUUAAAACGAAGCCCCCAACUACCUCCACCUUCGUCUUUCUCCCAAGCCUCAGCAACCCAUCCUUCUUUGUUGACAGAGAGGUUAAACAAGAUGGGGAAAGUUUCCUUCAGAGAUUGAUUUCCACACCACAAAUCCUUCCAAAACUUCACUUUGGUGCCGUCCCCAAUGAUGAAGCGGGAAUGAGAACGAAAAUUCUCCCAACCUUUUCUGAUGGCCUUCCAGACCCCCACCCCAUACCGGUUUCUUGCAUCUUUGGAGCACCAUCCUCCCUCUUGAAGAUCAUACUUACUAAGGAUAAUUUGCUUCCAUAGGGGCUCAUUCUCAUUAGCGAAUCUCCACAACCAUUUCCCCAGAAGGGCCUUGUUAAAAGUAGCUAGGCUACGAAUGCCCAAGGUAAAGGGAUUUAAAAGCAAAAAUAAACUUUGUUCCUGCAAACUGCAACAAGAGGGUUUGAACCUAAGACCACAAGCUCAUAAUGAGUUGGUUCCACCGUGCUGCAUCUUUGUCUAUGUUAAUAUUUAACAGAAAAUAACUACAUAGGUUGUUUC